GGGUUGUGAGGUUAAGCGACUAAGCGUACACGGUGGAUGCCCUGGCAGUCAGAGGCGAUGAAGGGCGUGCUAAUCUGCGAUAAGCGCCGGUAAGGUGAUAUGAACCGUUAUAACCGGCGAUACCCGAAUGGGGAAACCCAGUGUGAUUCGUCACACUAUCAUUAACUGAAUCCAUAGGUUAAUGAGGCGAACCGGGGGAACUGAAACAUCUAAGUACCCCGAGGAAAAGAAAUCAACCGAGAUUCCCCCAGUAGCGGCGAGCGAACGGGGAGGAGCCCAGAGCCUGAAUCAGCAUGUGUGUUAGUGGAAGCGUCUGGAAAGGCGCGCGAUACAGGGUGACAGCCCCGUACACAAAAGCGCAUGUGCUGUGAGCUCGAUGAGUAGGGCGGGACACGUGGUAUCCUGUCUGAAUAUGGGGGGACCAUCCUCCAAGGCUAAAUACUCCUGACUGACCGAUAGUGAACCAGUACCGUGAGGGAAAGGCGAAAAGAACCCCGGCGAGGGGAGUGAAAAAGAACCUGAAACCGUGUACGUACAAGCAGUGGGAGCACAGGUUUACCUGUGUGACUGCGUACCUUUUGUAUAAUGGGUCAGCGACUUAUAUUCUGUAGCAAGGUUAACCGUAUAGGGGAGCCGAAGGGAAACCGAGUCUUAACCGGGCGUUAAGUUGCAGGGUAUAGACCCGAAACCCGGUGAUCUAGCCAUGGGCAGGUUGAAGGUUGGGUAACACUAACUGGAGGACCGAACCGACUAAUGUUGAAAAAUUAGCGGAUGACCUGUGGCUGGGGGUGAAAGGCCAAUCAAACCGGGAGAUAGCUGGUUCUCCCCGAAAGCUAUUUAGGUAGCGCCUCGUGAAUUCAUCUCCGGGGGUAGAGCACUGUUUCGGCUAGGGGGCCAUCCCGGCUUACCAACCCGAUGCAAACUGCGAAUACCGGAGAAUGUUAUCACGGGAGACACACGGCGGGUGCUAACGUCCGUCGUGAAGAGGGAAACAACCCAGACCGCCAGCUAAGGUCCCAAAGUCAUAGUUAAGUGGGAAACGAUGUGGGAAGGCCCAGACAGCCAGGAUGUUGGCUUAGAAGCAGCCAUCAUUUAAAGAAAGCGUAAUAGCUCACUGGUCGAGUCGGCCUGCGCGGAAGAUGUAACGGGGCUAAACUAUGCACCGAAGCUGCGGCAGCGACACUAUGUGUUGUUGGGUAGGGGAGCGUUCUGUAAGCCUGUGAAGGUGUGUCGUGAGGCAUGCUGGAGGUAUCAGAAGUGCGAAUGCUGACAUAAGUAACGAUAAAGCGGGUGAAAAGCCCGCUCGCCGGAAGACCAAGGGUUCCUGUCCAACGUUAAUCGGGGCAGGGUGAGUCGACCCCUAAGGCGAGGCCGAAAGGCGUAGUCGAUGGGAAACGGGUUAAUAUUCCCGUACUUGGUGUUACUGCGAAGGGGGGACGGAGAAGGCUAUGUUGGCCGGGCGACGGUUGUCCCGGUUUAAGCGUGUAGGUGUGUGUUCCAGGUAAAUCCGGUUCACUUUAACACUGAGGCGUGAUGACGAGGCACUACGGUGCUGAAGCAACAAAUGCCCUGCUUCCAGGAAAAGCCUCUAAGCAUCAGGUAACAUCAAAUCGUACCCCAAACCGACACAGGUGGUCAGGUAGAGAAUACCAAGGCGCUUGAGAGAACUCGGGUGAAGGAACUAGGCAAAAUGGUGCCGUAACUUCGGGAGAAGGCACGCUGACACGUAGGUGAAGUGAUUUACUCAUGGAGCUGAAGUCAGUCGAAGAUACCAGCUGGCUGCAACUGUUUAUUAAAAACACAGCACUGUGCAAACACGAAAGUGGACGUAUACGGUGUGACGCCUGCCCGGUGCCGGAAGGUUAAUUGAUGGGGUCAGCGCAAGCGAAGCUCCUGAUCGAAGCCCCGGUAAACGGCGGCCGUAACUAUAACGGUCCUAAGGUAGCGAAAUUCCUUGUCGGGUAAGUUCCGACCUGCACGAAUGGCGUAAUGAUGGCCAGGCUGUCUCCACCCGAGACUCAGUGAAAUUGAACUCGCUGUGAAGAUGCAGUGUACCCGCGGCAAGACGGAAAGACCCCGUGAACCUUUACUAUAGCUUGACACUGAACAUUGAGCCUUGAUGUGUAGGAUAGGUGGGAGGCUUUGAAGUGUGGACGCCAGUCUGCAUGGAGCCGACCUUGAAAUACCACCCUUUAAUGUUUGAUGUUCUAACGUGGACCCGUGAUCCGGGUUGCGGACAGUGUCUGGUGGGUAGUUUGACUGGGGCGGUCUCCUCCUAAAGAGUAACGGAGGAGCACGAAGGUUGGCUAAUCCUGGUCGGACAUCAGGAGGUUAGUGCAAUGGCAUAAGCCAGCUUGACUGCGAGCGUGACGGCGCGAGCAGGUGCGAAAGCAGGUCAUAGUGAUCCGGUGGUUCUGAAUGGAAGGGCCAUCGCUCAACGGAUAAAAGGUACUCCGGGGAUAACAGGCUGAUACCGCCCAAGAGUUCAUAUCGACGGCGGUGUUUGGCACCUCGAUGUCGGCUCAUCACAUCCUGGGGCUGAAGUAGGUCCCAAGGGUAUGGCUGUUCGCCAUUUAAAGUGGUACGCGAGCUGGGUUUAGAACGUCGUGAGACAGUUCGGUCCCUAUCUGCCGUGGGCGCUGGAGAACUGAGGGGGGCUGCUCCUAGUACGAGAGGACCGGAGUGGACGCAUCACUGGUGUUCGGGUUGUCAUGCCAAUGGCACUGCCCGGUAGCUAAAUGCGGAAGAGAUAAGUGCUGAAAGCAUCUAAGCACGAAACUUGCCCCGAGAUGAGUUCUCCCUGAGACUUAAAGUCUCCUGAAGGAACGUUGAAGACGACGACGUUGAUAGGCCGGGUGUGUAAGCGCAGCGAUGCGUUGAGCUAACCGGUACUAAUGAACCGUGAGGCUUAACCUUACAACGCCGAAG
RNAcentral lists this ribosomal RNA (2928 nucleotides) under Salmonella enterica. RNAcentral's name for it is "bacterial LSU rRNA". It matches the Rfam family "Bacterial large subunit ribosomal RNA". Lineage: Bacteria; Pseudomonadati; Pseudomonadota; Gammaproteobacteria; Enterobacterales; Enterobacteriaceae. The record is from RNAcentral.